RNAcentral lists this ribosomal RNA (2490 nucleotides) under Gammaproteobacteria bacterium RIFCSPLOWO2_12_FULL_38_14. RNAcentral describes it as "bacterial LSU rRNA". It matches the Rfam family "Bacterial large subunit ribosomal RNA", at positions 1 to 2505 of the family's 2925-position model. Lineage: Bacteria; Pseudomonadati; Pseudomonadota; Gammaproteobacteria. The record is from RNAcentral.
UUAUAGAGUCAAGUAACAAAGCGCAUAUGAAGGAUGCCUUGGCAGUAGAAGGCGAUGAAAGACGUGGUAGCCUGCGAAAAGCAUCGGGGAGUUGGCAACAAACUUUGAUCCGGUGAUAUCUGAAUGGGGAAACCCAACCCGCAAGGGUUAUCUUACUUCCGAAUACAUAGGAGUAAGAAGCGAACUCGGGGAACUGAAACAUCUCAGUACCCGAAGGAAAAGACAUCAAUUGAGAUUCCGUCAGUAGCGGCGAGCGAACGCGGAACAGCCCAGUUACAGUAGAUAACAUGGUAUUUAACCAAACAACUUGGGAAGGUUGGCGAUACAGGGUGAUAGCCCCGUAGGUGAAAAAAACAUGUUAUUGGUAACGAAGAGUAAGACGGGACACGUGAAAUCCUGUUUGAAGAUGGGGGGACCAUCCUCCAAGGCUAAAUACUAACUACUGACCGAUAGUGAACAAGUACCGUGAGGGAAAGGCGAAAAGAACCCCGGGAGGGGAGUGAAAUAGAACCUGAAAUCAUAUGCGUACAAGCUGUGGGAGCAGAUUUAUUCUGUGACCGCGUACCUUUUGUAUAAUGGGUCAGCGAGUUACUUGCUGUGGCAAGCCUAACCGAAUAGGGGAGGCAUAGGGAAACCGAGUCUGAAUAGGGCGUGGCAACUUUGUUGCUGGAGUCGCAGUGAGUAGACCCGAAGCCGAGCGAUCUAUCCAUGGCCAGGAUGAAGGUACGGUAACACGUACUGGAGGUCCGAACCCACUCCCGUUGAAAAGGUAGGGGAUGAGCUGUGGAUAGGAGUGAAAGGCUAAUCAAGCUCGGAGAUAGCUGGUUCUCCUCGAAAGCUAUUGAGGUAGCGCCUUGUGUCAUCACUUCUGGGGGUAGAGCACUGUUUCGAUAAAGGGGCUGUCAUGGCUUGCUGAGUCGAUGCAAACUCCGAAUACUGGAAAGUGAAACACAGGAGACACACGGUGGGUGCUAACGUCCAUCGUGAAGAGGGAAACAACCCAGACCACCUGCUAAGGUCCUGGAAUUGACGUUAAGUGGUAAACGAUGUGGAAAGGCAUAGACAGCCAGGAGGUUGGCUUAGAAGCAGCCAUCCUUUAAAGAAAGCGUAAUAGCUCACUGGUCGAGUCGGUCUGCGCGGAAGAUGUAACGGGGCUUAAACGUCAUACCGAAGCAGUGGAUCUAGAGAUUUUAAUCUCUAGGUGGUAGAGGAGCGUUCUGUAAGCUGAUGAAGGUGAACCGAGAGGUUUGCUGGAGGUAUCAGAAGUGCGAAUGCUGACAUGAGUAACGAUAAUGCGAGUGAAAAACUUGCACGCCGAAAGUCUAAGGUUUCCCUACGCCACGUUAAUCGGCGUGGGGUGAGUCGGCCCCUAAGGCGAGGCUGAAAAGCGUAGUUGAUGGGAAACGGGUUAAUAUUCCCGUACUUAAAUAUAUUGCGAAGGGAGGACGAAGGAAGCUAAGUGAGCCAGCGAUUGGUUGUGCUGGUUUAAGCUAGUAGGAAGACAAGUUAGGUAAAUCCGAUUUGUUAAUUCUGAGAAGCAAAUACAAGCUAUUAGCAAUAAUAGUAAAGUCACUGAUGCUCAACUUCCGGGAAAAGUCUCUAAGCUAUAGAUAUAUUUAAACCGUACCGCAAUCCGACACAGGUAGACGGGUAGAGAAUACUCAGGCGCUUGAGAGAACUUAGGUGAAGGAACUAGGCAAAUUGGCACCGUAACUUCGGGAGAAGGUGCACCUUCUGUUGUGAACAUCCUGCGAUGGGAGCAACAGAAGGUUGAAAUAACCAGGUGGUUGCGACUGUUUAACAAAAACACAGCACUCUGCGAACUCGGAAGAGGAAGUAUAGGGUGUGACGCCUGCCCGGUGCUGGAAGGUUAAGUGAAGGGGUGCAAGCUCUAGAUCGAAGCCCCAGUAAACGGCGGCCGUAACUAUAACGGUCCUAAGGUAGCGAAAUUCCUUGUCGGGUAAGUUCCGACCUGCACGAAUGGCGUAACGACAGCCACACUGUCUCCACCUAAGACUCAGUGAAAUUGAAAUUGCUGUGAAGAUGCAGUGUACCCGCGGCAAGACGGAAAGACCCCGUGCACCUUUACUAUAACUUUACACUGGACUUUGAAUAUGGCUGUGUAGGAUAGGUGGGAGGCAAUGAAGUUUACUCGCUAGAGUAGAUGGAGCCACACUUGAAAUACCACCCUGUCGUGUUUGAGGUUCUAACCUACGUCCUGAAACGGGAUGAGGAACCGUGUAUGGUGGGUAGUUUGACUGGGGCGGUCUCCUCCAAAAGAGUAACGGAGGAGCACGAAGGUACCCUCAGCGCGGUCGGACAUCGCGCAUUGAGUGCAAAGGCAAAAGGGUGCUUAACUGCGAGACGUACAUGUCGAGCAGAUACGAAAGUAGGUCUUAGUGAUCCGGUGGUUCUGUAUGGAAGGGCCAUCGCUCAACGGAUAAAAGGUACGCCGGGGAUAACAGGCUGAUACCGCCCAAGAGUUCAUAU